RNAcentral lists this transfer RNA (74 nucleotides) under Elusimicrobia bacterium CG_4_10_14_0_2_um_filter_63_34. Its description in RNAcentral is "tRNA-Met". It matches the Rfam family "tRNA". Rfam says of the family: Transfer RNA (tRNA) molecules are approximately 80 nucleotides in length. Their secondary structure includes four short double-helical elements and three loops (D, anti-codon, and T loops). The record is from RNAcentral. RNAcentral also lists the same sequence under 2 other names. Lineage: Bacteria; Pseudomonadati; Elusimicrobiota.
UGCGGGGUAGAGCAGCCUGGUAGCUCGCAAGGCUCAUAACCUUGAGGUCGUGGGUUCAAAUCCCACCCCCGCAC